UACGUAGGGUACAAGCGUUAAUCGGAAUUACUGGGCGUAAAGCGUGCGCAGGCGGUUUUGUAAGUCUGACGUGAAAUCCCCGGGCUCAACCUGGGAAUUGCGUUGGAGACUGCAAGGCUAGAAUCUGGCAGAGGGGGGUAGAAUUCCACGUGUAGCAGUGAAAUGCGUAGAGAUGUGGAGGAACACCGAUGGCGAAGGCAGCCCCCUGGGUCAAGAUUGACGCUCAUGCACGAAAGCGCGGGGAGCAAACAGG
This 253-nucleotide ribosomal RNA is filed under the name uncultured bacterium. Its description in RNAcentral is "partial 16S ribosomal RNA". It matches the Rfam family "Bacterial small subunit ribosomal RNA", at positions 524 to 776 of the family's 1533-position model. The record is from RNAcentral.